RNAcentral lists this unclassified non-coding RNA (7947 nucleotides) under Leishmania donovani. Its description in RNAcentral is "gene:LdHU3.35.3010(CDS-product:protein_kinase_put ative)". Lineage: Eukaryota; Euglenozoa; Kinetoplastea; Trypanosomatida; Trypanosomatidae. The record is from RNAcentral.
CCAUCUGAAUAGCACACACGCACACACGCACAUCCUAUGUAUAUCUUUUAGGAGUCGGUGGCACUGUACUAGUAAAGCGCAGGCACAUUUUUUUUUUGGCACCCCCGCCCCUUCCUUGCCUCAGCUGUCGCAUUCUUUUAGCUGUGCGACGCGCACGCUUUCCAGUUAGUCCAUCAGCGACCACUACACCAUACCACUCCCUUCCUCUCGUGCCCUCUCAACUGCCCCUCCGUGCUUCCUUCGAAGAAACGAACAAAACACACACACACACACAGACAGAAGUCACCAGACAACUCUCUGCUGCUCUCGAAGCACCUACGAGGGGGGGGGGGUCGCUCGCGUCGGCGAGAAAACGAGAGAAAGGGGCAGGCGCGCGUCCAAAACGUCAGAGACGCAAACACCCACACAAACACGCCCAUACAUACAGUAGGUACGAAAGGACCGCUCAAACAAAACCCCCUUCCCCCUCUUUCCCCCUCCAAAAAAAAAAACAGUAUUUGCCGAUUUCGCGUCCAACAGCUGCUGCACGCUCUCUCUCUGUUUUUUUUUCUUCUUUGAUGCUGCGUCGCUUUAUUCGCUCCUCUUCGCCCACGCCCUCCUCCUCCCAUUCUUUUGUUUUCCGUGACAUCUGUUCGACGCAUCUAUUCCUUUUUUUUUGCUGUUUUGCUUUACUCUUACUUCUUCUUUCCCUCUUCUCUUGCGGGUCGCUUACGAGUUAGGUAAAGAGCGCAUCCUCAUUCUUUUGGUUCUCUGUCUUUCCACUUUUUCUCUGUUUUCCCCCUUUUCGCUUUUCGCGCCGUUGCGUCACUCAUUACUGCUGCGCUCCCUUUUUCCAGUCGAGGAGUCCUCAUUCUUUCACACGCGCACAUAUAUUCAUCAACGCGCAACCACCUCCUCAGGCGACGGAAGCGGUUGCGGCGACUUUCUUCUUCGCCUGCUUUUUGUUUUCGAUUCUGGAACUAUUAUAAUAUAUAUGUAUACAUUUCUUUGGCACCUUUCCUUUGGCUUUCCUCUUCUCCUGCGCUCAGCGAGAGAGCCCCCAAAAGCGGAAAGGAGGCUCGACGUAUCGCGGAUGCGUCUUUCGUGCGCUGCUGGUUUCUUUUUGCUUUUGAGGGGAGGCUGCUUUGCUGUUGUGGGUGUUUGCUUGUCUCUCUAGUAUCUGAGAGCUCGUGCGUGGGCACCUGAGCUCACACAUCUUUUUUUCCCGUUUUAUCGUAAUUGCGCCCUUUUUUCACUUCUGGUCUUUUUUGUGUUUCCGUGUUUUCUUUUUUUACGCGCGUGCGUAUUGUUUUUGUCUCCCGUGCAUGCGUGUUUCACCUUCCCAUUUCCGCUUUCCUUCUGUGCAACCUAAAAGAAUCCCCCUCUCGUUCAUUCCUCGCUCUAGUUCUCUCCCUUCAGCCUGAAUCGUCGUUGUUCUUUGUGCUUGUGUGCUUGACGUCUCGCCAGGUUGGAUGAAGCGGCAAGAUCUCCCCCAGAAAAGAAAGGAGAUCGAUCGCUUCACCUGCACACCUACAAACCGAGAACCAAGUGUCGCGCAGACGUAAACAAACACGAGUACACCGUGGUGAAGGUUGUUGUGGCGAGGCGGCGCAUCUCGUACAUCUAUAUUCUUUGUUGUUGUGAGCAAGUCUAAGUGCAAGCCGUGGAGAGAGGCUUUCGACCUGUUUUGAGCUGUGCUACAGCGGCCUGCGUGUGCGUGUGUGUGUGUGUGCGUCACUUGCCCGUCACCCUAUCUCGCUGCCGUGGCACGAGAAAAAAGCGGAGAACACACGCCUUGCUGCUUUGCUGGGCUGCGAGUGCAGCCGCAAGAAAGAGAGCGAGCGAGCGAGAGAGAGAGAGAGUAAAGCUAGAGGUGCAGAGAAGAGGAAAGAAGACGAAACAAGCAAGCCGAGCUUACUGCCCGGUUCGUCGAAAAGCUGUGUUGUGUGUGUUGUGUAUUGUGCUUUCGGUUUUCCUGCUCCAGAUCGGGGUGUAACGCCGUUUGCGUGGCUCCUUUUUUUUCUUUUUCUUCGUCUUUUGCCUUUUUCUGUAAGAUAUUUGCGGCACGCUUGGGGCUCAUUUCUUUUGUGGUUUUCAUUUCUUUCAUCGCCGCGCCCUCACCAUCUUGUUCUCCCGAUCGCGUCUCUCAGGUGUACGUCAUCUCGCAUCGGUCAACUCGGGGCUGUGAAGGAGAACGGGCACCCCUAGGAGGUAUCUCGCCUCUUCUGUCGUUGCGUUCUUUUCCGAUUCCCUUAUCCUUUUCCUUUUAAGGGCGACUCUUUCGGACCGCGUUUUCUUUCCCUCAGUCGAAUGAUCACCUCACGAGGCAAGGCGAGUGGCCAUGUCAAGCCGUCUUCGCCGGCCUCGGCGAAGGAUGCAGCCCCAUUCUUCGCUGCCGCCCCCACGGCAGUCACCGCCUCCAAAACAUCUUACUCGAGGAACGAUGGGCACAACCCCCUCAUCAAUGAUCUAUUAAAGGAUCUUGACAAGAACUCUUCUCCUGAGGACGUCCACGGUGCUGGCCACGUGCAAGAGCAGAGCGUCAGCAAUGCUAAUAGCUUUUCGAACUUCGACCUACAGCUGCGGCGGCCCAGCGAGGAAUCGACGGCGAGUUGCCGUAGCAGCGCCCGAAACCGUGACAAGACAGCCACGGAUAUUCUCUGCAAGACUGGUCAGCACUUUGUGCACGCCAUGCGGAUGCACAACCUGGAGGAUUUCUUCUGCCCUGCUCACGGUGAGAGCGCCGAGGACGUGCUGCGACGCCAGCUGCGCAAGAAAGAUCAAGAGGAGGUGGAGGCAGUGGUGCUCACGUUAGUGGAGCUGCUCGAGGAGGUGCGCAAGGCAAGGGGCCAAUUAGUGCCGCUCGCCGGCUCGCUCUCGUUGCUCGACACGUCGGGGCGAAAGCGUACCUCCUUCAAUAGCAUGCACUCCGCAGUGAGCACGGCUAGCCUCAUGCGGCCACCGGUGCAUGAGACGAAUCAGCUCGCCAUGGCGUACGAUCAGCAGGGAAACCGCAUGAUUAACUGCUAUAGGGUGAUCGCGAAUCUAGGACGUGGCGCGUACGGCAAAGUGAAGCUUGGAGUCGACACCAACACCGGCCAGAUGGUAGCCAUCAAAAUAAUUGACAAGAAGCUUCUCAAGAGGAUCGGUGGCCUGGGCAGCAGCAACCAGGAGGCGGCGCUGAAGCGCGAGAUCGCCAUCAUGAAGAAAGUGCGCCACCGGAACUGCGUAUCUCUAUACGAGGUUAUCGACGACCCUGAUUCGCACAUACUCUACCUAAUUAUGGAGUAUGUGCCAAACGGGCCCGUUGUUCGGCUGAAACCGCAGGAGCUCAGCAGCACUGCCCUGGAGUCUAUCGAGGCCGGCAUUCCGCUGAACGGAGAGGUCUGCAACAAGGCCCUGAUACGUUGCGCGGUGCGGCAGUCCGCCAACGGCGAUACUGCGUCCCUCACCGACGCGGAGAUCAACAGUAAUCCGACGAUUUUCCUGUGUAAGCCGCUUAGCCAGCACAUCUGUGCGCUGUACCUGCGCCAACUUGUGAGUGGACUGCGAUAUAUGCACAAGCGAAACCUCGUUCACCACGACAUCAAGCCGGACAAUAUAUUGGUUGGCACCAACCAUCACGUUUUUCUCAGCGACUUUGGUGUUAGCGAGAUCCUCUCCACUCGGCAUGAGGUGAAAAAUGCUGUGAAGAAAAACCGUGGCAGCAUGAGCGACGACCUCAUUAGCGAACACUCCUUCGAAUCCGACGGUAGUGAUUCGACCAAUGAUGAUGGCGUUGGCAGCAAACCUCGCCUGGGCGGUGGCACGCUCCUCUUCACCGCGCCGGAGCUGUUUGACAGCUCGGUGAAUAAAAAAUUGCUGGAUCCCCACCUGACCGACGUCUGGGCGCUCGGCGUCACGCUCUACUGCAUGCUAGUUGGCAUGUCCCCGUUUUUUGGUAACACGUACGCCGAUGUGCGCGCAAACAUCCUGACGCAGAGGUACCCGUGGUGCGGCAAGACGAUUUACGGGACGCUGCUGGCGGCGGAGUGGCGGGUCGUGCUGAACGGGCUGCUGGCCAAGAACCCGAACAAUCGCUGGUCGCUGGCGCGGCUCAAGUCGUUCCUCGACCAGCACAGCUUCCAGUACGCCAUGCGGCAGAGUGCGUUCCUCGAGGCAUCGACGCGGACUCGUUCCUUGACCUCCGUGGACGGCGACGCAUCCCCCUCCACUUCCACAGCGCAGCGCGCCGCCGGCUUGGCAGCGUCGUCGACCGGGACGUUUGCCAAGGGACUCAAGCUGCCGCUCGCGUGUAGUUCAGUGGCGAAGGACAAGAACGCCUCUAUCCUUCUCCCUCGCGUGGUUUCUUCUCCUAGGGCCGUUUCCGCCUUGUCAAUGGAGGCGGGCGGCGCUGCUCGCAGCUUCCUGUGGGACCUUGGCGUCUCGGAGAAGGAGGUACGAGGUGCCACGCGAACGGUGAAGGUCGAGGUGGUGCGGCAGACGACCGUCCUCUCGGCGCACACGCGCACCAUUGUGCGCCGCUACGUCGAAUGGAUUCGCGCAUGCAUGCACGCUCGGAACUUCAUUCCACUGGGCUGCGCGCCCCCUUUAAGCAGAAAGUCGCUCGUCGGCUCCCUGGUCUCCAUGCAGAUGUGCGCUGACGCCAACAAGAGCAGCAAGACGUUGACCGCCAGCCGCGAAAAGGCACAUGUGACGCACGUCCCUGUCCUCGCUGUGGCGGCAAGGUGCCACCGAACCAGCGAGGCCGGCCCCAUAGGCACUAGAUCUUCCUUGUUUCCUCCGCGGAGGAGCCCCCAUUCACCGGCGGGAGAUACUCGCAAGGGGAGGCAACGGAGCGGCAGCCGCAGCAGCAAUGACGGCGGUGGCCGCGCGCUCACUCGCGGCAGCCUGGAAAGCCGCGCCUCGGACGGCAGAUUACAGUCGCUGGAUGCUGCCCUCUCAAUAGUGAACUUGCAAAGCACCUUCGAUGAGCACUCCCUCACCUUUAGCUUGACGUCAUCGAGUGCCUCCUCGCAGGCUUCCUUUUCGUCGCAGCACGGAUACAGUGGGCAGCAACCUGGCAGGGAAACCCGCACCAAUAACGGCAUCCUGGCGGGCAACUUGGCAACUCCGAGCGAGGAUACGCCGGCGCCCAGAAACGGGAUGGCCGAAAAAGUCAGUUGGUGUAAUGCACAGAUGCCAUCGACGGUCGCGCAGACGAUGGUGCCCAGCAGCGCGACGCCUUCAUCUAUUGCGGAGGAGGACAGCCGAAAAAGGGUGGGCGCAAAAGGCAGCAAGAGCCGGUUCCAGCAAUUCAUGCGCCGCAAGAAAACACCGAGCGGCGCCUCCGUCAGUGAUGACCUCACCUCUUACCAAUCCACGUUUGCACCCAAGUCAAAUUCUGCGGUGUCGCCGCUACUCGAUUCGGUUCUCUGUAGUGGCAUCAGCGGCUUGGGAGACAGCAACUCAGCUGGGUGCUGUAGUACACACCAUAACCCGAAGACUGUCAGCACGACUGACCGUUGUCUUGCCGCGCCACCAGACGAGCACCUCUCGGUGGUGCAGUCUCCAGGCUCGGUGGGCAACAAACACCCCGUAGGGCCGAUGCAGGAGCGCCUUUCUGACGGUAAACUGGCUGUUCUGGCCUUGACAUCCUUUGAGCAGGUGCCGCACGUCACAGUCUCGAAGCGGCUUUCCUCCGUUUUUCGGAAAUGAGAUCGACAGUCAUAGAAGAGCAGAGAGGGGGAGGGGCAGAGACCAUACGGAGGGAACGGGAAGAACAAAAAAGACGCAGGGAAAGCGGCGGUGCUCUUUUUCACCGACCGGAAUGCAAGAGAGCCGAAGGCAGACUUGUUCGAUGUAUCAAUCAAGACUGCAGCCAUGUGAUCCUCAUCACGUGGAUAAGCGCACGUUUCUUGUACUCUCAGUUCGUGUUGGGUGAGGUAAGCCUGUAGUGUAAGGCAUGCCAUUCCCCCCUAACGCUCUGCUUUGAGUUUCCUUUGUGUGCUCCUCUUCCGCAUCACGCGACUUCAGCUCCGUGAAGACCAGCUGUGGAUGAGGGGCACCCCUUCACAUGUCUCAAGAUGUUACUAUGUUCUGUUACAAUUUUUCUUUUCGCGCGUCGAGGAGUUUUUCCCUUUUCGGUCUUGCGGCACUCUUGAAGAGUUGUAGAUACUUCACGUUUCGCUCCAUCUCGCUGUCUCUCUACCCGUAAGUCUGCCCCCCCCCUUCUAGGACGCAACAUCGAACCAUGCGCACGCCUCCUCUCUUACCACAGCAUCUCCCCUCUUUUUUUGUGUUGAGCACUCUUCGUUUUUUUUUGUUCUGCCUUUCCGACCUUUUCCUCUCUUCAUCUUCAUCGUAGUCCGCCAUUUUUUGUUUUGAUUUUUGUUCUUCUGGUCUCUUUCCGCUUUUUUUGUUUGGUAUUGUUCUUUUUUUUCUUGUGGUGUUCUUAUGUUGGUCUUUUGGACUCUGCCUGGAAGCUCGUCAGUGUACCUUAUAUGUAUGUAUGUUGAUGUGCUUAUGCACGCCGCCCACCUUUGCCCACACACACACGCCCCCCUCCCUCCCUACCCCUUCGUCAACUCUCCCCUUCCCCUCACAGGUAGCGAAACACACAAAGAAGCGCCUUUUUUGUUCAGUUGAUCGGUUUUGCCCACCGCCUUUUCAAAACAUUUGUGUGGUGCUGCUUGCACAUUUCCUUUAGCUUCUCCCUUUUUCCUUUUUUGUUGCUUGCUUCCUUGGCCCGUUGCUUCUGUCACGCGCCGCCUCCUGUGCUCUUUUCCCCUCCUUUCCCGCGUUUAUGUACCAUAGUCUUCCCUUCAAACCGCUGGAAGAGAGGGAAGGCAUGAGUAAGGGCCUACACGGGGUACGAAAACAGCACAACAGAACGUAAACAAGGCAAGCCCCAAAAGAAAAAGGAGCGUCAUGGAAAACGGCGCACUCGUUUUCCCCCUUUUCUCUUCCUUUUGUUUCAUCACGUCUUUGAUGCGCGACAACCAUUUAUUGGGGCGGAAGGACUCAUCUAGCGCGCGUUCCGGAUCGAGUGCUGUGGCGCGCGUCGACAAUCGAGGGUGCACGCGCGCACUUAUGCCUGUGCCUCACCUCACGGUGCACGCCGAUGAUCUUGUUGCCGGUAUACUACUGAUCUUCCGAUGACAGGGGCACCAUCCCGGUGUGGCAACUCGGGGAUCAGUGCCCUACUGUAUGGGAAAACCAGUCAUCUUCCCUUUUCUCUUUCAAUACCGAACCACUUGUGGUGGUGAUAGGGUCAGAUGCCCAAAACGCAGUCAAGUCGAAGCGAUGUAUGGCUACUGGUGCCGGCGGUCAGGUCCUGGACGGCGUUGCGUUGGAGAGACCUGCGGCAUUGCACACGUGCGAUUAUUGGGUUGGGCAGAUUGUCGGCGUGACUCGAACACAUCCCACACCCGCCCCUCACAUUUCCCUGCUGCUAUGGGGAGCCUGCGUGCCACCCCUACGGGGAUACACGCCAGGUGGCCACCAGUACAAUGGGCGGAGCUGUGAGGUAACCUGCAUGGCGGAUGGGCGGGCAGAGAUUGUGUCAGGGGCCGUACUCAGGUAAGUGAGUCGGCGCAUUCGCUGUGAUGCAUGUGUCUACGGUGGCUUCGCACCACGCGAUGGGGCCUCUGUGGCAGGCCUGGUAACGUGGAGUCGACCUCAUGUUUUACGGAAGAGAGAAAGCGGACACAUGGAAAAGCAAAAAAAAACACUUCACAGUGUUUUUAUGAGCGGAUCAGCCGUGCGUGCCUUGCUGUUUAUUCUCUUUUCUUCUCCCCUCACCUACUUCCUUUCUCUCUCUCUCUCUGUGUGUGAGUGCGUAUUUAUGGUCGUUCAUGUGUUCAUGUGCCCUGCUUUCUUCGCUUCUCUCUUGUGUAGCUCCUCUCAUAUUAACUCUUGGCUCCAUCGGAUCAUGAUGUUCUUUUUUCUAUGCUUCUCCUCGUUAUUACUUUGGUACAAGGAAACACC